Molecule: ribosomal RNA, 697 nt
Filed under: uncultured Brevundimonas sp.
Lineage: Bacteria; Pseudomonadati; Pseudomonadota; Alphaproteobacteria; Caulobacterales; Caulobacteraceae
Description: bacterial SSU rRNA
Rfam family: Bacterial small subunit ribosomal RNA
Source: RNAcentral
UGCAAGUCGAACGAACUCUUCGGAGUUAGUGGCGGACGGGUGAGUAACACGUGGGAACGUGCCUUUAGGUUCGGAAUAACUCAGGGAAACUUGUGCUAAUACCGAAUGUGCCCUUCGGGGGAAAGAUUUAUCGCCUUUAGAGCGGCCCGCGUCUGAUUAGCUAGUUGGUGAGGUAAAGGCUCACCAAGGCGACGAUCAGUAGCUGGUCUGAGAGGAUGAUCAGCCACAUUGGGACUGAGACACGGCCCAAACUCCUACGGGAGGCAGCAGUGGGGAAUCUUGCGUAAUGGGCGAAAGCCUGACGCAGCCAUGCCGCGUGAAUGAUGAGGGUCUUAGGAUUGUAAAAUUCUUUCACCGGGGACGAUAAUGACGGUACCCGGAGAAGAAGCCCCGGCUAACUUCGUGCCAGCAGCCGCGGUAAUACGAAGGGGGCUAGCGUUGCUCGGAAUUACUGGGCGUAAAGGGAGCGUAGGCGGACAUUUAAGUCAGGGGUGAAAUCCCGGGGCUCAACCUCGGAAUUGCCUUUGAUACUGGGUGUCUUGAGUAUGAGAGAGGUGUGUGGAACUCCGAGUGUAGAGGUGAAAUUCGUAGAUAUUCGGAAGAACACCAGUGGCGAAGGCGACACACUGGCUCAUUACUGACGCUGAGGCUCGAAAGCGUGGGGAGCAAACAGGAUUAGAUACCCUGGUAGAAGGGC